RNAcentral lists this ribosomal RNA (173 nucleotides) under Labracinus ocelliferus. Its description in RNAcentral is "partial 12S rRNA". The record is from RNAcentral. Lineage: Eukaryota; Metazoa; Chordata; Actinopteri; Pseudochromidae.
CACCGCGGUUAUACGAGUAGACCCAAGUUGACAGACUACGGCGUAAAGAGUGGUUAGGAGAAAAAUAUUAAACUAAAGUCGAAAAUCUUCAAGACUGUAAUACGUUCCCGAAGAUAUGAAGCCCCACCACGAAAGUGACUUUAACCCAAUCUGAAUCCACGAAAGCUGAGGCA